UGGCGGCAGUGCCUAAUACAUGCAAGUCGAGCGAAUGCAGGAGAAGCUUGCUUUUAUGAAGUUAGCGGCGGACGGGUGAGUAACGCGUGGGGAACCUGCCCAUAGAAGUGGGUUAACUCUGGGAAACGGGGGUUAAUCCCGGUUAACUUUUAGGACCGAAGGGGGGGAAAUUGAGAGGUUGCUUUAUCUGUUGAUUAUGUAUGGGCUUAGCUCGUAUGUGGUGUUUGGGGUGGUCACGGCUACCCUACCUAACUGUGCUGAGCCGAUCUUCAGGGGCGCUGGGCCUGACUGGCGCUGAAACCUCCUACAGGCUGCUACGGGGGGGAAUAUUGGGCAAUGUUCCCAAGUGUACUAAAGCCUUGCGGAGCAACUCCAGGAGGGCGUUGAAGGCUUAAGGACUUUCAAACUGUGGGGAUGGGGAAGAACAAGUGCUAGUUGAAUUUGCUGUCACCUUGACAGUACGUACCCGCUAACUCAGUGCUAACUGCGUGCGAAAUACCGCGGUAAUA
Molecule: ribosomal RNA, 509 nt
Filed under: Bacillus cereus
Lineage: Bacteria; Bacillati; Bacillota; Bacilli; Caryophanales; Bacillaceae
Description: bacterial SSU rRNA
Rfam family: Bacterial small subunit ribosomal RNA
Source: RNAcentral